RNAcentral lists this ribosomal RNA (810 nucleotides) under uncultured Campylobacter sp. Its description in RNAcentral is "bacterial SSU rRNA". It matches the Rfam family "Bacterial small subunit ribosomal RNA", at positions 568 to 1375 of the family's 1533-position model. Lineage: Bacteria; Pseudomonadati; Campylobacterota; Epsilonproteobacteria; Campylobacterales; Campylobacteraceae. The record is from RNAcentral.
CGCGUAGGCGGAUUAUCAAGUCUCUUGUGAAAUCCAACGGCUUAACCGUUGAACUGCUUGGGAAACUGGUAAUCUAGAGUGGGGGAGAGGCAGAUGGAAUUGGUGGUGUAGGGGUAAAAUCCGUAGAUAUCACCAAGAAUACCCAUUGCGAAGGCGAUCUGCUGGAACUUAACUGACGCUAAGGCGCGAAAGCGUGGGGAGCAAACAGGAUUAGAUACCCUGGUAGUCCACGCCCUAAACGAUGUAUGCUAGUUGUUGGGGUGCUAGUCAUCUCAGUAAUGCAGCUAACGCAUUAAGCAUACCGCCUGGGGAGUACGGUCGCAAGAUUAAAACUCAAAGGAAUAGACGGGGACCCGCACAAGCGGUGGAGCAUGUGGUUUAAUUCGAAGAUACGCGAAGAACCUUACCUGGGCUUGAUAUCCUAAGAACCUUAUAGAGAUAUGAGGGUGCUAGCUUGCUAGAACUUAGAGACAGGUGCUGCACGGCUGUCGUCAGCUCGUGUCGUGAGAUGUUGGGUUAAGUCCCGCAACGAGCGCAACCCACGUAUUUAGUUGCUAACACUUCGGGUGAGCACUCUAAAUAGACUGCCUUCGUAAGGAGGAGGAAGGUGUGGACGACGUCAAGUCAUCAUGGCCCUUAUGCCCAGGGCGACACACGUGCUACAAUGGCAUAUACAAUGAGACGCAAUACCGCGAGGUGGAGCAAAUCUAUAAAAUAUGUCCCAGUUCGGAUUGUUCUCUGCAACUCGAGAGCAUGAAGCCGGAAUCGCUAGUAAUCGUAGAUCAGCCAUGCUACGGUGAAUACGUUCCC